RNAcentral lists this ribosomal RNA (393 nucleotides) under uncultured bacterium. RNAcentral describes it as "partial 16S ribosomal RNA". It matches the Rfam family "Bacterial small subunit ribosomal RNA", at positions 523 to 918 of the family's 1533-position model. The record is from RNAcentral.
AUACGGAAGGUCCGGGCGUUAUCCGGAUUUAUUGGGUUUAAAGGGAGCGCAGGCGGAGAUGCAAGCGUGACGUCAAAUUUCGGGGCUCAACCCCGUCUCGCGUCGCGAACUGCGUCCCUUGGUUGCGGGAAGGGGAGGCGGAACUCGUGGUGUAGCGGUGAAAUGUAUAGAUAUCACGAAGAACUCCGAUCGCGGAGGCAGCCUUCCGGCCCGUCAACGACGCUCAUGCUCGAAGGUGCGGGUAUCAAACAGGAUUAGAUACCCUGGUAGUCCGCACAGUAAACGAUGGACACCCGCGGUUUGGCCUGUAUGGCUGAGCCGCCAAGCGAAAGCGUUAAGUGUCCCACCUGGGGAGUACGCCGGCAACGGUGAAACUCAAAGGAAUUGACGGGG